GCGACCCCAGGUCAGGCGGGGCUACCCGCUGAGUUUAAGCAUAUCAAUAAGCGGAGGAGGGCGGG
RNAcentral lists this unclassified non-coding RNA (65 nucleotides) under Ceodes umbellifera. RNAcentral's name for it is "Pisonia umbellifera partial 26S ribosomal RNA". Lineage: Eukaryota; Viridiplantae; Streptophyta; Magnoliopsida; Caryophyllales; Nyctaginaceae. The record is from RNAcentral.